UUGACAGUGCAGGCGACUGAAGUCCUCUGUAUAUCCGCAGGGCAGGCAUGGCACAGAGCGCUUCCUUGCACAGCCUUGCCCAUGAGCUCGUCCCUGGCCUGGAGGGACCCACUCUAGAGGUGGUAAGUAACUCAGUCUUUCUGCCAGCUCAGUCCUGGGCCUCU
RNAcentral lists this small RNA (164 nucleotides) under Jaculus jaculus (lesser Egyptian jerboa). Its description in RNAcentral is "TUC338 (ENSJJAG00000007743.1)". Lineage: Eukaryota; Metazoa; Chordata; Mammalia; Rodentia; Dipodidae. The record is from RNAcentral.